AAGCAGAGCCUGUGACUGGACUGAAGCCAAUGUUCUUUAAAAGUUCACAUGCCUUGUAUUGGCUCUCUAAUUCAGACUCCUUCUGACCAAACAAAGGGGGAGGGGGAAUGAAAAAUAGUAGCAGCUGUUUCAGUAAAAAAUUCUAAGGGUUAACAUAACAUGAUGUAAACUAUUUCUUGUGUUCUUCCUACUUGCCCAUUUUAAUCAGAAACGAGUAAGAAGAGCCUUAUAUGCAGUGAACUUGAAGAAUGCUAAUGGGAUGUCUGCAUCGCGUUGUACUUGGAGUACUUAUGCCAGAAUAGGAAAGCCUUUUAUUCUGUAAUUCUCUGAGGCAAGAACGAGGCUUUCUGAAGAGUUACUUUAAAUUUAAACUCUCAUUCUAAUGUUAGACAGCCUGUUGGAUCUCUGAGUUAAAAAUUGCUUCAGCUUUAGUUACUAGAGCCAGAUGUAACAUUGACCUUAAAUGGUAAAAGCUCCCAAGAGUGAAAGAGAGGCUGGCCUGAGAGGAAAAAGAGGAAUAACUGAAGUUUUAGGAAGCUCCUGCCUACAGCAUUCCAACCAUCAGCCUACUGAAUUUUCACUGCCCUUCCUUCACAGGGCACUCUGACCAUGAGAGUUCCAGACCUUAAAUUCCUCUGAUAGGUAAUAUCUAGCUUUCUGGUUACAUUUUUAAUUUUACUUCUGUUAUUUGAAACAU
Molecule: long non-coding RNA, 697 nt
Filed under: Calidris pygmaea (Spoon-billed sandpiper)
Lineage: Eukaryota; Metazoa; Chordata; Aves; Charadriiformes; Scolopacidae
Description: lncRNA (ENSCPGG00000004363.1)
Source: RNAcentral